UUGACCUCAAAUCAGGUAGGACUACCCGCUGAACUUAAGCAUAUCAAUAAGCGGAGGAAAAGAAACUAACAAGGAUUCCCCUAGUAACUGCGAGUGAAGCGGGAAGAGCUCAAAUUUAAAAUCUGGUGGUCCUCGCGGCCGUCCGAGUUGUAAUCUGGAGAAGCGUUUUCCGCGUCGGACCGUGUACAAGUCUUCUGGAAUGGAGCGUCGUAGAGGGUGAGAAUCCCGUCUCUGACACGGACCGCCGAUGCUUUUGUGAUACGCUCUCGAAGAGUCGAGUUGUUUGGGUAUGCAGCUCAAAACGGGUGGUAAAUUCCAUCUAAAGCUAAAUAUUGGCGAGAGACCGAUAGCGAACAAGUACCGUGAGGGAAAGAUGAAAAGCACUUUGGAAAGAGAGUUAAACAGUACGUG
Molecule: ribosomal RNA, 411 nt
Filed under: uncultured Tylospora
Lineage: Eukaryota; Fungi; Basidiomycota; Agaricomycetes; Atheliales; Atheliaceae
Description: eukaryotic LSU rRNA
Rfam family: Eukaryotic large subunit ribosomal RNA
Source: RNAcentral